GAGGCAGCUUCCGGAGGCACCUCAGCCUGAGCCGGAGGGACCCCCAGGCAGGCUCCUCCCCACACCAUUGCCACUGCUGUUGCCAUCACUCAACUGGACCAUUGCAAGAGGCUUCCGAUUGACCACCUUCUCCAAGGGUCUCUCCCGGCUCCCACACACGGAGUCAGUCACUGUAAGUCACUAUUUGUUAACGGACCCAUCCCCCCGGAUUAGCUGUGAAACUGCCUUGUCUGUGGGGAAACAGCCCCUCGAGAGCCAGGACAGGAACUUCCCCUUUAUGGCGUCAGUACCUAGUGCUCAGGGAGUGCUUGUGGAAAACAGGCAUAAAGGCCCACAGAGAGAAAGGAGGGUCUUUACCGUCCAGGGGGCUGUCCUCUCCCCGCAGGGAUGUUCUCCACGAGCUGGAGAGGCAAGUGCCCCAGACACGGGGGUUUUUUCACAGGUGUAAGCUCUCCAGAAGCAGCCGCUCCUCUCCGGAAUGUGGAAACGUGCCAGGGGCCAGCUGCCUGAGGGCCAGAACCCAGAGGCGAUCUUUUGUUUUGCACGCCAUUUUCUUUGCAGCUCUUCCGGGGACCUUGCUGCCAGCCCUGCAUGCCCUGGGGCCCAGAUUCUCCGGACGCCCCCACAGUUCACAUGUGCUCUGGGCUGUGGCUUCUGCAGGGCACCCACCUCUGGGGCGGGCCACCACAGAGAAAUAAUAAACAGCAGCACUGCUUCCAGAGCCCUCUGCACCCGCAGGGCACGGUCUCACUUAACCCUCGAAACUACUGGUCCCACCAACAAGUAUUUAAUGAGAGCCGGUUUGCGCUGGGGGUCGAGAAGGACACGGUGAUGCAUUUUGUGCUUCAGGAGCUGACAAUUCAGCUGCAUGACUGUGAAAGUCAUUGAACUUCUCUGACCUUGUCUGACCGUGAGCAUCAGCCAUCCUCAGGGUGAGUUCCUAUAGGGCAGCUGCUCUGAGUCCCUGAGUUGGAGGCGUAUGAGGAGACCACACAGUAGAACUACCAGCUGCUAGUAGAAAAACCACGACGCACAUGAGAUCCCUUGAUGAGCUACACAAUGUCAAGAUCUGUCUUCUGCCCCAGGGAGCAAUGUAAUCCUGCUCCGCUCCAGCUGUGCAAGGAACACAGGCUUGGUUGAAGAUCCCAAUCUGAAUCUUGGCUGGUUACCACCUUCUCUCCGGGUGACGCUUACUCUGAGCCCAGGGUCCCUGAGAGCACACCAUCACCCCAAACAACCGUCACCCAUGCGCACACACACCCAGACCUGCUCUCUCCGGCCUGUCAGGGACCUGGUAAGGCAGGAAGAUGGCUGAGUCCGUUAAUGCCACCAAGCACAACACAUAUUUAUGGCCCCAAUUACAGGCUUCACCUUCCCCCGCCACCAAGGAGCAGAAAUAGCGACAGAACAGUUGUGUGCAGUGGGGUCUGAGGCCUCUGUAGCAAUAACUACAAGAUUACAGGGAUGUUAGCAAACCCGGGUGACGGCGGCUCUAUUAUAAUGAUAAAUCUACAGCUUUAUAUAGAAAUAAUGAGACUGGGGUAGAAGGUGGGGGAGGGAAGGGCAGAGGGAUUUCAGCCAAUCGAAGUUCUAGGCCGAGGGAAACCGGCAAGCCGCUGGGAACGCCCAGGAGACCACCAGGGGCUCUUAGUCAAGCCAGGCAGGAGUGGGGGGCAGCAAG
Molecule: long non-coding RNA, 1681 nt
Organism: Felis catus (domestic cat)
Lineage: Eukaryota; Metazoa; Chordata; Mammalia; Carnivora; Felidae
Exons: 4
Source: RefSeq, a predicted model, not a curated record